GGAGGAGGAGGAGGAGAAGGAGGAGGAGGGAGGCGCGGACACGCCGCUCGGACGCCGCCUGCAGCGCGCACCCUCCCGGUGCCCGGCGGAGGCGGGCUGCAGUUACGUGCGAUGCGUGAAUUGGCAAACACCAGAAGAUGUCCCAUCCUGCUGGAAGUCUGUGACCUACGAGCCCGUUAAUGGGAAACGCCAGCCGCCGGUCACCUGCGGUGCUGGGGAUGCACAGGGCGCUGCCGAGGGGCGCAGCACCAGGGGAGUUGGGGUGCUGAGGGAGAGCUUCAGUUUUCUUCAGUUCCUGACUCCUAGAAUAAAACCUUCCAGGGUCUCCUACUCCUGGCCUCUUCUGAGACCCAGCACCUUUUGGAAGGUCUUGGGCACCUCCUAGGAGAAGAGAUGCCCAAGUCCAACCCUCCCAAGAGCGGACCUCACGCCAGAGUUCACGCUGCUCCUCUGAUAACAAAGCAGCAAGCAGCUCGGUCUUACAGCAACGCCAGUCCCAGCAUCCGUGCUACCAACCCCUGUCGUAACAUAACAAGGACUCUUCCCAAAAUAUUUGGGCUUGCCCUGUCACAGUGUGCGGCGUUCAAGUUCAGCACUCUGUCAACAACGCCAGGUGUCUCCUGAACCCCCAGCUCCCGAGCCAAGAGGGAGAGCUCAGAAGCAAGGAAUAAUCAUUAUUCACAUUACUAACACAUAACGGAAUGUUUAAACAGAUAACGUAACAAAACCCUCUGCAGCGAGAAAAACGACAGGUUCUUAUUUAUCCCAGCUAGGCACACAAUGAACUCCGUCUCCUGGAAAGAGAAAGUGAGGCUCCCUCUUCCGCAACUGACAGCCACCAAAAAAAAAAAUGUAUAUAUUCUGGUGUGCUGGCUGUGUCCCUCAAGGGGGGCCGAAAUUCUCUGUAGCCCUUGAUAAACCAACUGGCAAUUUUGGGGGGGGUAAAAAAAAAAGUUACUCAAAGCCAAACUCAAACAUCUAAGAAAAAAGCUGGUGAAACCAAAAUCCAAGAACGAUUUCAUUUUGAGUCAAUCCAAAGAUUUCAAUUUUGAGUUUUAGGGGAAUAAAAAAAAAAAAAGACACACACCCCCCUUG
Cygnus atratus (black swan) is the source of this 1095-nucleotide long non-coding RNA. RefSeq lists it as uncharacterized. The record is from RefSeq and is a predicted model, not a curated record. The transcript is spliced from 3 exons. Lineage: Eukaryota; Metazoa; Chordata; Aves; Anseriformes; Anatidae.